Molecule: ribosomal RNA, 1358 nt
Filed under: uncultured Eubacteriales bacterium
Lineage: Bacteria; Bacillati; Bacillota; Clostridia; Eubacteriales
Description: uncultured Clostridiales bacterium 16S ribosomal RNA
Rfam family: Bacterial small subunit ribosomal RNA
Source: RNAcentral
GAUGAACGCUGGCGGCGUGCCUAACACAUGCAAGUCGGACGGGAGGAGGAGCCCUCCGGGGUUUUCUCUUCUAGUGGCGGACGGGUGAGUAACGCGUGGGCAACCUGCCCCGCACCGGGGGAUAACAGGCAGAAAUGCCUGCUAAUACCGCAUAAUCCGCGGGGGCCGCAUGGCCUUUGGGGGAAAUAGAGAGAUAGGUGCGGGAUGGGCCCGCGUCUGAUUAGCUGGUUGGCAGGGUAGCGGCCUGCCAAGGCGACGAUCAGUAGCCGGCUUGAGAGAGCGGCCGGCCACAUUGGGACUGAGACACGGCCCAGACUCCUGCGGGAGGCAGCAGUGGGGGAUAUUGCACAACGGGGGGAACCCUGAUGCAGCGACGCCGCGUGGGUGAAGAAGUGCCCCGGCACGUAAAGCCCUAUCGGCAGGGAUGAAAGGGGCCGGAGACGGCCCCGUGACGGUACCUGGCUAAGAAGCCCCGGCUAACUACGUGCCAGCAGCCGCGGUAAUACGUAGGGGGCAAGCGUUAUCCGGAUUUACUGGGUGUAAAGGGAGUGCAGGCGGCAUGCCAAGUCCGAUGUGAAAGCCCGGGGCCCAACCCCGGGACUGCAUUGGAAACUGGGAUGCUGGAGUGCCGGAGAGGUAAGCGGAAUUCCUAGUGUAGCGGUGAAAUGCGUAGAUAUUAGGAGGAACACCAGUGGCGGAGGCGGCUUACUGGACGGCGACUGACGCUGAGGCUCGAAAGCGUGGGGAGCAAACAGGAUUAGAUACCCUGGUAGUCCACGCGGUAAACGAUGAAUACUAGGUGUCGGGGCCCAAACGGGCUCCGGUGCCGCAGCAAACGCAGUAAGUAUUCCACCUGGGGAGUACGUUCGCAAGAAUGAAACUCAAAGGAAUUGACGGGGACCCGCACAAGCGGUGGAGCAUGUGGUUUAAUUCGAAGCGACGCGAAGAACCUUACCAGGCCUUGACAUCCCGCCGGCGGGGGAGGAGAGUCCCCUUUCCUACGGGACGGCGGAGACAGGUGGUGCAUGGUUGUCGUCAGCUCGUGUCGUGAGAUGUUGGGUUAAGUCCCGCAACGAGCGCAACCCUUGUCCUUAGUAGCCAGCGGGAGAGCCGGGCACUCUAGGGAGACUGCCGGGGAUAACCCGGAGGAAGGCGGGGACGACGUCAAAUCAUCAUGCCCCUUAUGGCCUGGGCUACACACGUGCUACAAUGGCGGCGACAGAGGGAGGCGAAGGGGCGACCCGGAGCGGAUCCCGGAAAAGCCGUCCCAGUUCGGAUUGCAGGCUGCAACCCGCCUGCAUGAAGCUGGAAUCGCUAGUAAUCGCGGAUCAGAAUGCCGCGGUGAAUGCGUUCCCGGG